AAGCAGAAUGCACCCAUGCCACAGUGCUCCUUCCUGCAGCCUGUCAGGCGUCGGCCCACCCUGCAACAUCCAGGAUGUCAUUUGAGCCCUGGUCACACGAAAGCACUGCAUGGGAUGAAGGUGUCCUUAUGAAGGAGGCAAAGGGAGUUCUGACACGGAGAAGAGUGGUCCAUGUGAAGAUGGAGGCUGAUAUUGGAGUGAUGCAGCCACACUCCAAGGAACACCCGGAGCCGCCAGAAGCCGGAAGAGGCAAGGAAAGACCCCCACCCAGAGCCGUCAGAGAGCACAGUACUGCUGACACCUUGAUUUCAGACUUCUGGCUUCCAGGACUGUGAGAGUAAAUUUCUGUUGUUUUAAACUGCCCAGUUUGUGGUAGUGUGUUAUAGCAGCCACAGAAACUAAUAGAGACUGGUCUAGCACCCUCGACAGAAUGUGUGUGUUGUAAGGGGCUCUCCUGAUCCCUAGUGAUGGGGAGUCAGAGGACUGCUUAGUGUCUGAACAGAGGGUUGGGGAAGCUGGGUUGUCCUGAAGAACCAGCAGUCCCCACUUGGCAGAAAGGGACCCUGAACUUGUGGGAGGUGGGGGCUGAGGGGCACCUGCUAGCCAU
RNAcentral lists this long non-coding RNA (607 nucleotides) under Homo sapiens (human). RNAcentral's name for it is "HSALNT0399037". The record is from RNAcentral. Lineage: Eukaryota; Metazoa; Chordata; Mammalia; Primates; Hominidae.